Molecule: long non-coding RNA, 566 nt
Filed under: Brachypodium distachyon (stiff brome)
Lineage: Eukaryota; Viridiplantae; Streptophyta; Magnoliopsida; Poales; Poaceae
Description: long non-coding RNA (BDIS_LNC002830)
Source: RNAcentral
GUUCACGGUCAGGCGGGCGGCGGCAUUCCCCAUCCUCACGGGCAGCCGGCCCAAUCCCCUCGAUCGCCCGCGCGCCAUAGUAGCAGUGGUCUGACCCGGACACGGCAGACAGCGAGCAAGACAAGAGGAGCAGCGAGAGCAAUGGCGACGACUACCAAUCACAUUUUUUCCUUUUUUAGGAAUCGAUAUUUCCUUUUUUUCUUUUACGUGUGUUUGGGUUCGCGAUUGGUUUCUAAUUUUGAGACAAAAUUACCAUCCCAAAAUAAAAACACAUAAUUAAAUAGCUUAAUGUCAAAUUACCAAACUACCCACGCCAAUACUACUCCUAGCCUGUACUAGUAAAUUGUACCGUAAAAAGCCUCGUUAACCAAUGUUAUUCUUUUCUAGCAGCAUGGAUCGACAGCCAUGUCUUCUUCAGCUUGAUCAAGCAGUACUGCAGUAGCAUGGGUGGAACUUUGAAGUUUGAACUGAUGAAAUUAUCGUGGGGGAACAAAAACAAAUGUUGUUUUUAAAUAAUUCCAUACGAACGUGUUAUCUGCAUUUUUUGUUCUUGCAUCACAUGAGCA